AGAAAUUUUUGGGAUUUCGAUCUAAAAUAAUGUGUUUGGAUUCUUCAAAGUUGUGUAAUUAAUUUCUUUUUCGUUGAUUAUGGUAUUUUGGAAUCUGUGUUUUCACUGAUAGAUCUUUACAUCCACCUGAAAUAUUAGUAUGAUUGGGUAUGUUUUCACUGAUAGAUCUUUAAAAGUGGGUUUAUUAUCUCUUUCAAUAAUUACGUCAUCAUCACCCAUUAAAAGAUGAGGUUUUAAGAUAGCUUUCAAUAAAAAAAUCAUCUUUAGUUUUAAGUGAUAAAGAUUUUAUCAGAUCAUCGGGAUUGAAAUCAGCCAACCGUCUAUCACCUUUAAAAUAAACACUUCUUGGCUUGGUUGAGAUCCCCAGCCACACCAACACAUUCUUGUGAGGCAGUUCCCAGCGGCGCUUUGGAAACCCCCGCGUCCGACUGCUUUCAGGGACUAAGUCGACCGAGGAAGUAAGGGGGGGUCGGACGGUGCGAGGAUCGGAGAUGGAGGAAUACAUGGAGAACGUAAAGAGAUUGCGAACUCAGAUAAACGACAUCGAGGAGGCUGCGGCGAAGAGAUCGGUAGAGGAGCAGAAGCAGAAGACAGCGAUCGGCGCCUUGCAAACCGAUCUCAAUCUCGUGAGGACGGAAAUAAAGCGUUUGAACGAGGAGGCAGCGGAGAUGCUCAAAGCGCAAGCCCAGACCAGCUCCGAGAUAGCAGAGAAGCAAAAGAAGAUCUCCUCGCUGGAGACGGAGUCUUGCACCCUCUCUCAGACUUUGGAGCUUCUCCAACAAGAAAUGACCACCACAACGCUGAAACAUAAAGAAAAGAGAUCAUACUAUGCAAGGGUUACCGAAGACUUGAAUCUCAAAUUACGGGAACAACAGGAGUGGUACAACUCAAAAAGGCAGAAGAUGAAAGCAGAUGCUGCAUCAGUUGAUGAUAAUGUAGAUAAAGAAAUUGUUCAGACCAAAGGGAGUGGGAAUGCUAUGCCCUCCAUGGGAGCAAAUUUGGGGAAUACGGGUAAUGACACCAGUGGGAGAAAUAAGGAUUUGGAAAUUGAAUUGGAGUCUGCAAAAACCAAACUUGCAGAAAUAGAGGCAAAAAAAUCUGAAGUUGCUAGAGAUAGCAUUAAGUCCAAGCAGCUGCUUGAGGAAAUGAGUUACAAAUUGCAGGCAGCCCCUCCUGCACUGAGGGAAAUGGAUGUCAAAGCCUUGGAAGAGGAACACAGAUCUUUGGUGGCUGAUAAAGCUGGGGAGCUGGAGUACUUGCAGUCUCUAAAGGAACGGAUUAAACAACUGAAGAACAUCUCACAUAUCAUCAAAUGUCGAUGUGGAAAGGAGUACAAUGUGGAGCUGGUGAGUUGAAGCUGUGGCUUGCAUCCGAAGCAGUUUCAUGGUCUCAGCACUGGAGAGUGAGAAUAUAUAGUCUAAUUGAUCGCGAUAGCGACGUAGUCUUGGGCUGGACCGACCAGAAGGACGUCGUGUAUUGGCUCAGAUGGUGACGAGUUAUUCCACAAUAAUGUGGUUGGGCAUAUCCAACCAGUGUUUUCACAUCAUUCAUUAGGCAGUUGCUGCCGAGGAUGGUGACUCUUUAUCUCCAUUGGAAGAUACGCAUAUGAAUAUGAAUAUGCUUUGUGUUACGCCAACAACAUUUUGUGCAGAAUUGCUUGUCAUUAUCAACAUCUAAAAAGAUCAUUUUUCAA
RNA transcript from Musa acuminata AAA Group (dessert banana), 1693 nucleotides. RefSeq lists it as uncharacterized. The record is from RefSeq and is a predicted model, not a curated record. NCBI's taxonomy places the organism in Eukaryota, Viridiplantae, Streptophyta, Magnoliopsida, Zingiberales, Musaceae. The transcript has 14 exons.